Molecule: transfer RNA, 62 nt
Filed under: Anopheles gilesi
Lineage: Eukaryota; Metazoa; Arthropoda; Insecta; Diptera; Culicidae
Description: tRNA-Cys
Source: RNAcentral
GGCUUUAUAGUCAUUUAUGAUAUUAGACUGCAAUUCUAAAGGUAUAAAAUUUAUUGAGGCUU